RNAcentral lists this ribosomal RNA (253 nucleotides) under uncultured prokaryote. Its description in RNAcentral is "partial 16S ribosomal RNA". It matches the Rfam family "Bacterial small subunit ribosomal RNA", at positions 524 to 776 of the family's 1533-position model. The record is from RNAcentral.
UACGUAGGUGGCAAGCGUUAUCCGGAAUUAUUGGGCGUAAAGCGCACGCAGGUGGCGGCUUAAGUCUGACGUGAAAGCUCCUGGCUUAACUGGGAGAGGUCGUUGGGUACUGGGCGGCUUGAGGCAAGGAGAGGGGCGUAGAAUUCCCGGUGUAGUGGUGGAAUGCGUAGAUAUCGGGAGGAAUACCAGAGGCGCAAGCGGCGCCCUGGCCUUGGCCUGACGCUCAGGUGCGAAAGCGUGGGGAGCGAACGGG